UGCGCAUAAAGUCCACCGAAGACCUGC
RNAcentral lists this non-coding RNA (27 nucleotides) under Homo sapiens (human). Lineage: Eukaryota; Metazoa; Chordata; Mammalia; Primates; Hominidae. The record is from RNAcentral.